RNAcentral lists this long non-coding RNA (334 nucleotides) under Homo sapiens (human). RNAcentral's name for it is "HSALNT0069469". The record is from RNAcentral. Lineage: Eukaryota; Metazoa; Chordata; Mammalia; Primates; Hominidae.
CAAACAGCAUGGAGGAACCGUGAGCAAAGUGGUUUCCAUAGUCAAUUCAGUGCUAGAAAAUGUUUGGGUGUCGACCAGCCUGAGUAACAAGUAUUCACUGAUUACUCAGGACAUUCAUGAGAGACUCCAGAAGAACCAGGCCUUUUCAGUGAAAGUAAACAACUUACGGAAUAAAGACGAGUGUAGAUCUGCUCUGACAAUGAUUAAAGGGUGAACAGAGAAUGCUGAAAGCCACAAGAAAAGGCAUUCACCAAAGAGAACAGAGCCAGGAGAGAGCCUCUGGGAAAGAGAAGGCUUUAGAGACAUCGUUUUAACUUGGCAGUAAAGCAAACAA